Molecule: non-coding RNA, 70 nt
Organism: Cicer arietinum (chickpea)
Lineage: Eukaryota; Viridiplantae; Streptophyta; Magnoliopsida; Fabales; Fabaceae
Source: Rfam
ACCUGGAAGGCUAUUUGGUAGAGCGAUCAGUUUAUCUGAAUAAAGGUAGGUUCGAAUCCUACUUCGGGUU